Molecule: long non-coding RNA, 1330 nt
Filed under: Phasianus colchicus (ring-necked pheasant)
Lineage: Eukaryota; Metazoa; Chordata; Aves; Galliformes; Phasianidae
Description: lncRNA (ENSPCLG00000016782.1)
Source: RNAcentral
UCCAAGAUGGCUGCCCUCAAUCCAAGAUGGCCACCCCCAAUUCAGUGUGACCCCAACCCAAGAUGGCUGCCCCCCCAUCCCACCCUGCCUCAAAUCCAAGAUGGCUGCCCCCACCCAAGAUCUCCGCCCCCCAAUCCAACGAAUCCUCCCGGAAGCCAAGAUGUCCGCCACCGGAAGCGCCAUUGCUGAGUCUUUAUUGCUCACAGUCCGAUGGUGUAGGAGCGGCCGGCGGGGUUGUGCAGGGCGGAGCAGGCCGGCUCGGUCACGGCCCACUCGUACCAAACCUUCUGCGGCGCCGCACGGCGCCAGAACGACAGCACCACCGUCUGCCCUGCCUGCACCGCCAUUGGCUGCUGCGGGGAGAGGGGGCGGGGCUCAGCGACCAGGCGGCCAAUCGGGGAGGGUGUCCCAAGACUCCAUCAAUGGGUGGUUCCAAGAUGGCUGCCUACCCAACCACCAAUGAUGGAUCCGAGAUGGCUGCCCGCGGCCAAGAUGCAUCCAAGAUGGCUGCCCACAGCCAAGAUGGCUGCCCACCCACUCACCAAUGGAUAGAACCAAGAUGGCUGCCCACAACCAAGAUGGCCGCCCACCCAACCACUAAUGGAUGGAUCCAAGAUGGCUGCCACCCACCAAUGAUGGAUCCAAGAUGGCUGCCCACAGCCAAGAUGGCCGCCCACCCAACCACCAAUGGAUGAAUCCAAGAUGGCUGCCUACAAUUAAGAUGGCUGCCAGCCAGCAAUGGAUGGAUCCAAGAUGGCUGCCACCAACAGAACACAUGGGAUCCAAGAUGGCUGCCACCAAUGGGACACAAGCGGGCCCAAGAUGGCUGCCUCACAUCAAGAUGGCCACCCGACCGAAACCAAUGGAUGGAUUCAAGAUGGCCACCCCCAUUGAAGUCAAUGGACAGAUCCAAGAUGGCCACCCCAUCGAACCCAAUGGACGGAUCCAAGAUGGCUGCCCCAUUGAACCCAAUGGAUGAAUCCAAGAUGGCCGCCCCCACUGAGCCCAAUGGACGGAUCCAAGAUGGCCGCCCCCAGGCAUACCUUUAAAGGGAAGAAGAUGGGGAACCAGGAGAACAUCCCAGGCGAAUGCGUCUCUGGGCGGAUACCUGCGGGGCCACGCCCACCGUUAGCCCCGCCCCUUCCUCUCACUCUCAUUGGCUGCCACCAAACCACGCCCAUCAAUCCCAAGCCCCACCCCUAAAUCCCUACCCACACCCUUAUUGCCCACACUGGAAGCCCCGCCCCCUCCUCCCCAUCCCGCCCUCCGAUUGGCUGCAACCACCCCAUACCACGCCCCCUCCCCCUCCAAGCCCCGCCUUCCCUCCUUA